Long non-coding RNA from Mastomys coucha (southern multimammate mouse), 541 nucleotides. RefSeq lists it as uncharacterized. The record is from RefSeq and is a predicted model, not a curated record. NCBI's taxonomy places the organism in Eukaryota, Metazoa, Chordata, Mammalia, Rodentia, Muridae. The transcript has 3 exons.
GCCACCAACUGGGGACCAGCUAUUUAAAUACCAGACCCUUGCGGAGGGCGUCUCAUCCCAACCACUUCAGAAAGUAAGGACUACUUGUGGGGCCCCAACCAAAGGAAACAUCGACUGACUUCUCAAGCUUGACUUGGUGGAAGCCUCUGGAUCCUGUGAUUGUUGCAUUCUGCAUACCUAGGAAACCAGCAUCAUGUGGAUAACACCAAGGUCUGCCCCAUGCUCUAUUGCAGCUGCUUUCCUUUGACCACGAUAGCAGCAGCCUCCAAAUACCUGGAUAACUAAGCAAGGCGAAGGGAAUCCAGGAAAAAACAACUUCCUAUCUGAGAAAGACGGUGGCAUUCCAGACAGGCGCUGAUGGAAUCACAGAAGUCCUGCCACAGGAAGAGCAGAGAUGAAUCAGAGCCAGUGACACUGGAAAUGUAGUGAGAGAAGCAAACCUUCAUAGAGACUCCACAGGUGCCCUGCAGUGCUUUCUUUUUCUCCUAAGCUCAGAAAAAGAGAUUUUGUCCCAGGUAAAUCUCCCACUCCUUCACUUCAA